CUUGUUGACGUCAGAGCUGCGUCUGUGCUCGCUCUGGAGAGCAGGACAUCCUGUGGAAUUGUUCUCAGCUAGGCCUGAAGAAUGUAAAGCAGCAACCUCUCCCAUCUAGCUCCACUCUGUGAAACGUAGGAGGGAUGUGUGCCGACACAGAAACGAUUAAGGGGAGAGACAGGCCCAGGGAGGAGAAGAUCUCCAUCAUUAAGUGCAGCCCCAGGCUCUGCUGCAAACCAUCAGAGGAGGGACAGGAAUACUAAACAGCCAAGGGUGACAAAGACUGCAGAAUGAAAAGGAUGGAGGCUGCGUGUGAAGGUGUCCUCACAUUGGCUGGACAGGGAAACUACACAGCAUCCAACAAUGUGCAUGAGAUUACCUUGUCAGGGUGUUUCCCUGGAUUUAGCAUAGUGCAAGCUCAGAGCUAUCAUUACCCAUAUAAGGAGAAAAAGGGAGAUUAUUGAAAAUUAACCAAGCCUCCUUCAAGCUUGAGAAUUUAAAUUUCACCGUGAACUGACUUUACUUGAAAAGUUGAGCCAUUAUUUUUUCUUUCUUGCUUUUUAUUUUCAUCAUUUUUGAUAAAGUGUAAUUGCUAGACAUGGCCUGUUACAACACACUUGGGCACCUAAAAAUCUCAUUGUUUAUGUAUCUCAACAAGACAAAAAAAUGUAGAAAAAAAACAGAUUCAUUUAAAUUUUUGUAACAUUCUGACAUUUAAAAUGUCCCAGAAAUGUGCAGGAAUGAAUGUAAAAUGUGUUUGAGGAAUAGACAACCACAUAAAAUCUGUUCAAACUGU
Long non-coding RNA from Notolabrus celidotus (New Zealand spotty), 787 nucleotides. RefSeq lists it as uncharacterized. The record is from RefSeq and is a predicted model, not a curated record. The transcript is spliced from 2 exons. Lineage: Eukaryota; Metazoa; Chordata; Actinopteri; Labriformes; Labridae.